RNAcentral lists this ribosomal RNA (649 nucleotides) under uncultured fungus. RNAcentral's name for it is "eukaryotic LSU rRNA". It matches the Rfam family "Eukaryotic large subunit ribosomal RNA", at positions 17 to 649 of the family's 3401-position model. The record is from RNAcentral. Lineage: Eukaryota; Fungi.
AGGACUACCCGCUGAACUUAAGCAUAUCANUAAGCGGAGGAAAAGAAACUAACAAGGAUUCCCCUAGUAACUGCGAGUGAAGCGGGAAAAGCUCAAAUUUAAAAUCUGGUAGUCUUUGGCUGCCCGAGUUGUAAUCUAGAGAAGUGUUAUCCGCGCUGGACCGUGUACAAGUCUCCUGGAAUGGAGCGUCAUAGAGGGUGAGAAUCCCGUCUUUGACACGGACUACCAGGGCUUUGUGAUGCGCUCUCAAAGAGUCGAGUUGUUUGGGAAUGCAGCUCUAAAUGGGUGGUAAAUUCCAUCUAAAGCUAAAUAUUGGCGAGAGACCGAUAGCGAACAAGUACCGUGAGGGAAAGAUGAAAAGAACUUUGGAAAGAGAGUUAAACAGUACGUGAAAUUGUUGAAAGGGAAACGCUUGAAGUCAGUCGCGUUGGCCAGGGAUCAACCUUGCUUUCUGCUUGGUGUACUUUCUGGUUGAUGGGUCAGCAUCAAUUUUGACCAGUGGAAAAAGAUCAGAGGAAUGUGGCAUCUUCGGAUGUGUUAUAGCCUUUGGUUGUAUACAUUGGUUGGGAUUGAGGAACUCAGCACGCCGCAAGGCCGGGUGUAAACCACGUUCGUGCUUAGGAUGCUGGCAUAAUGGCUUUAAUCGACC